AUACAGAGCCGUACAAAAACCUCCCUCAGUCAGACUGCACAGUGACUGUACUGAUACAGCUGGGACCUACUGCAGGUGCUGAGGGGGAAGAGACAGUGACAUGGAAGACUGAUCAGUAGAGGAGGACCUGAGCCCUAGGACCAUGCCUCAGGACUACCUGGCAUGAUGACUCCUUGCUGUCCCCAGUCCACCUGGCCGUGCUGCUGCUCCAGUUUCAACUGUUCUGCCUGUGGCUAUGGAAUCCUGACCUGUUCAUCGGACAUGCUACCUGUCCCAGACCUGCUGUUUUCAACUCUCUAGAGACAGCAGGAGUGGUACAGAUACUCCUAAUGAUCGGCUAUGAAAAGCCAUCUGACAUUUACUCCUGAGGUGCUGACUUGCUGCACCCUCGACAACUACUAUGAUUAUUAUUAUUUGACCAUGCUGGUCAUUUAUGAACAUUUGAACAUCUUGGCCUUGUUCUGUUAUAAUCUCCACCUGGCACAGCCAGAAGAGGACUGGCCACACCUAAUAGCCUGGUUCCUCUCUAGGUUUCUUCCUAGGUUUUGGCCUUUCUAGGGAUUUUUUCCUAGCCACCUUGCUUCUACACCUGCAUUGCUUGCUGUUUGGGGUUUUAGGCUGGGUUUCUGUACAGCACUUUGAGAUAUCAGCUGAUGUACGAAGGGCUAUACAAAUACAUUUGAUUUGAUGAGAGUGAGCACAUUCACACACAGAGCACUCUCAGUACCACCUUAAUAGUACUGAAAUACUAGUACACUACAAUAGGGACUGAUAGUACUGAACUAUUAGUAUAACACAAUACUGCCAAAUAAAAACAAAACGCAUUAA
Molecule: long non-coding RNA, 828 nt
Organism: Oncorhynchus nerka (sockeye salmon)
Lineage: Eukaryota; Metazoa; Chordata; Actinopteri; Salmoniformes; Salmonidae
Exons: 2
Source: RefSeq, a predicted model, not a curated record